CAAACUUUCUUUAAUUGCAGGCUGAGCUGGAUGCUGAAUACAAAAGAGUGAGCCUCAACACUUAAGGUUUGUGCUGAGUUUCACCAUAUCAGAGAAAGUGGCACACACCAGCAAGAUUUCAUAGAUGUUGCAUGACAUUCUAAAUGUUUGAUCUUCAGUGUAUGUGUGUGAGGAGAACUGUUCUUCAGGACAUGAAAU
This is a long non-coding RNA of Sinocyclocheilus rhinocerous, 198 nucleotides long. RefSeq lists it as uncharacterized. The record is from RefSeq and is a predicted model, not a curated record. NCBI's taxonomy places the organism in Eukaryota, Metazoa, Chordata, Actinopteri, Cypriniformes, Cyprinidae. The transcript is spliced from 3 exons.